Peromyscus maniculatus bairdii (prairie deer mouse) is the source of this 1768-nucleotide non-coding RNA. NCBI's taxonomy places the organism in Eukaryota, Metazoa, Chordata, Mammalia, Rodentia, Cricetidae. The record is from RefSeq and is a predicted model, not a curated record.
CUACUCCGUAGUUUCUCCAAGGCAGCUAUCCUAAAGAGCCCACAGGCGCCUUCCUGAUUCUCAGUUCUGCUCAUUGUCUCUUCAAUUCCGAAUCCACAGGACUUUCCUCUCUUCUCACGAGUUCUUUACCCACUCUGCUACCUCUUCUACCUGCAACUCAAAAUCUUUAGUGUGUGGUCUCUACUGGAUUCCAAAGUCCUCACUCAUUUUGUGACUGGUAGAAGAGCAAGGCAUGGAAGGGCUGUGAAAAUCCAUUUCCUUCUCCAGGGACUGGCAGGAAAUGAUAUUUUAUAACUCUACUCAACCACUUGCAUGGGAGUGAUAAGGCACAAGAGCGGCUGUUUAUAUAUGACCCACCAUUACUCCAUUUCAGUGAAGUUGAUAGACAGCAUUGUUAAGAAAUGACUACAUCUGUAAAAUGCCGGAGCAUGUUGAUAGACCUGUCUUCUGAUGUGCGGAAGCCCUGAUUUAUAGGAUUAGUAGAGUUUCAUGCUGUAACUUAUAACCUAUUUAAAGUUAUCAAGGUUUCAAGCAUGAGUUUGGAAAAUCCCUAAAUAUUUAAAAUUUAGAUCCCUGAGCCUUAAUUUAGUGAACUCCAGGUCACACCUGCACAUUUUCAUAUAACUGUUCUAUGGUCAUGAUUUUUAACAGAACUCUUGAGAAGACAUGUUUUUGUUGUUAUUUUAUUUUAUUUUCUCUAUUAUGGGAAAGAUCUAACAUAUACAAAUGCUCAGCAUUCUUUAAAAUUAGUCCAACAAAAACACCCAGGACAAGGAUUCACUUCAAGUCUUUACUGCUUCUCAAAAGUAAGUAUUAACAUUACUGCAUUAGAUCACAUAGGAAUUUUCAAAGUUAAGAUAGCUUAAAGCUUUAGGCAAUAUUGUAGCUUAUAAGGCCUAUAAGGGAAAAUUAUCUGAUUACACCUCAUGUGAAGUACGAAGAUUACAGUGGGAACUAGUUCAUGUCAAUUUAUUCUUAAUUUAUUGGUUGAUCCAGUUGGUGGUGUUUUGUGUGUAAUGGAAUUUAAGCAUGAACAACUAGAGAGCUAGGCACAGUUAGAGACCUUGGCACCUGAAUGACAAUAGAAAUGUCAAAGCUGAUAAGAGGAAACUGUGAUACACCUAAGGGUUUUGAACGGAGAACAGGGAAUACUACAAAGAUCAUGGACACUAUAUUUUCUGUUUUGUGAAUGCGGUAAAAAUUUUGUUUCAUAUUCCUAAUAAACCAUACAAUAAAUUGAAGACAGAUUUUUAAAGAAUGCUCUCAUGUACGUACCUGUUACUUAAAGGGAAGUUGUAUGCCUCAUUUGCUUGGAUUAGCUUCAAGAAUUUAACACCAAGUCAAGAUAAAGACAGAAAGAAACAUUGGCCUAAGUCAGCUUAGAUUGUUUCAAAGAGUUUGAGAUUUAAAAAAAUAUUUUAUAUGUAUUAGUGUUAAAAAAAGUUUUAUAUGUACUAGUGUUUACCAUGCAUGCAUGUCUGUGCACCAUGAACAUCUAGUGCACGAGGAAUCCAGAAAAGAACAUCAGAUCCCCUAGAAUUUGAGUUAUAGACAAUUGUUAGCUUCUAUGUGGGUGCUAGGAAUUUAAUCUGGGUCCUCUGGAAGAGCAGCCAGUGCUCUUAACUGCUGAGCCAUCUCUUAGCCCCAGCUUAAAACAUUUUUGAAGUGAAUUUCUAUAAAUGAAUAUUGAAAUUGUUAUACUUUUGUAAACUUGUGAUGUAUACAUGUAUACACUUUUUUUCUUUCAUUAAAUAUGUGGUUGAACUAA